RNAcentral lists this ribosomal RNA (856 nucleotides) under uncultured bacterium. RNAcentral describes it as "bacterial SSU rRNA". It matches the Rfam family "Bacterial small subunit ribosomal RNA", at positions 60 to 914 of the family's 1533-position model. The record is from RNAcentral.
AGUCGAACGGCAGCACGGGGCAACCUGGUGGCGAGUGGCGAACGGGUGAGUAAUAUAUCGGAACGUACCCUGGAGUGGGGGAUAACGUAGCGAAAGUUACGCUAAUACCGCAUACGAUCUAAGGAUGAAAGUGGGGGAUCGCAAGACCUCAUGCUCCUGGAGCGGCCGAUAUCUGAUUAGCUAGUUGGUAGGGUAAAAGCCUACCAAGGCUUCGAUCAGUAGCUGGUCUGAGAGGACGACCAGCCACACUGGAACUGAGACACGGUCCAGACUCCUACGGGAGGCAGCAGUGGGGAAUUUUGGACAAUGGGCGCAAGCCUGAUCCAGCAAUGCCGCGUGAGUGAAGAAGGCCUUCGGGUUGUAAAGCUCUUUUGUCAGGGAAGAAACGGUGCGGGCUAAUAUCCUGCGCUAAUGACGGUACCUGAAGAAUAAGCACCGGCUAACUACGUGCCAGCAGCCGCGGUAAUACGUAGGGUGCAAGCGUUAAUCGGAAUUACUGGGCGUAAAGCGUGCGCAGGCGGUUUUGUAAGUUUGUCGUGAAAGCCCCGGGCUCAACCUGGGAAUUGCGAUGAAGACUGCAAGGCUUGAAUCUGGCAGAGGGGGGUAGAAUUCCACGUGUAGCAGUGAAAUGCGUAGAGAUGUGGAGGAACACCGAUGGCGAAGGCAGCCCCCUGGGUCAAGAUUGACGCUCAUGCACGAAAGCGUGGGGAGCAAACAGGAUUAGAUACCCUGGUAGUCCACGCCCUAAACGAUGUCUACUAGUUGUCGGGUUUUAAUUAACUUGGUAACGCAGCUAACGCGUGAAGUAGACCGCCUGGGGAGUACGGUCGCAAGAUUAAAACUCAAAGGAAUUGAC